UCCGCCUGCUGUCAAACUAGUGGAAAAGUAGCUAGUUAGCAUCAGGUUAGCAUCAGAGCUAACGUCAAUUAGAUGAAAGUAACAUACGUCACCUCCGGGUGAAAUUACGGCUCCGCCCACUUUUGAGGCAAACCAACGCUGUCAUUUGAAAGGCGGUAAAUUAAACAAAUUCUGAAGUUUCACAAAUGUUAAAAAACCGUGGAUUUUUGUACCUUCAAGGAGUUUUGAGAAGCGUUUUAAUAUCAGCAGUUAUACCCGAUGCAACUGGAUGACAGGCUCGACAAGGGCUGUUGUUUCAAUAUAUCACUGAAGUGGUUCCCUCUUCGGAAAAAAUGUACGUGGCUGACCCCCAGUCAGAGGGCCUAGGUAUAAAAGCCACGGUUCGCCACUGCCCUAUUCCUAUAUCACAGAGCCAGGUAUCAUAUUGCUCAACCACCCAGGAAAACCUUGUACUUCCUGUACACUGUAAAACCAGUUCCUUCUGAAAGGGUCAACGAAAGUACGUCAGAGAACAUGAGUGGUGAGACAAGGAAUUCACACAUUAUGGUA
Long non-coding RNA from Eleginops maclovinus (Patagonian blennie), 549 nucleotides. RefSeq lists it as uncharacterized. The transcript is spliced from 3 exons. Lineage: Eukaryota; Metazoa; Chordata; Actinopteri; Perciformes; Eleginopidae. The record is from RefSeq and is a predicted model, not a curated record.